AGCUUUGCGCAGUGGCAGUAACAUAGCUGAUGAGGUUCAUCCGAGGCGCGUUUAUUGCUAGUUGAAAACUAUACCCAAUACCCCGCCCUGUGGACGUGUAAACCGUUCGCUGUGGCAAUUUUUGAUGGGUUCCCCAGAAC
This is a non-coding RNA of Ciona savignyi (Pacific transparent sea squirt), 140 nucleotides long. The record is from Rfam. NCBI's taxonomy places the organism in Eukaryota, Metazoa, Chordata, Ascidiacea, Phlebobranchia, Cionidae.